UACAGAGGUCCCAAGCGUUGUUCGGAUUCACUGGGCGUAAAGGGUGCGUAGGCGGCCAGGUAAGUCUGCUGUGAAAUCCCGCAGCUCAACUGCGGAACUGCAUUGGAAACUAUCUGGCUAGAGGAAUGGAGGGGAGACUGGAAUUCUCGGUGUAGCAGUGAAAUGCGUAGAUAUCGAGAGGAACACCAGUGGCGAAGGCGAGUCUCUGGACAUAUCCUGACGCUGAGGCACGAAAGCCAGGGGAGCAAACGGG
This 253-nucleotide ribosomal RNA is filed under the name uncultured bacterium. Its description in RNAcentral is "partial 16S ribosomal RNA". It matches the Rfam family "Bacterial small subunit ribosomal RNA", at positions 524 to 776 of the family's 1533-position model. The record is from RNAcentral.